This 235-nucleotide ribosomal RNA is filed under the name uncultured bacterium. Its description in RNAcentral is "partial 16S ribosomal RNA". It matches the Rfam family "Bacterial small subunit ribosomal RNA", at positions 99 to 334 of the family's 1533-position model. The record is from RNAcentral.
CGGACGGGUGAGUAACGCGUGGGUAACCUGCCUCAUACAGGGGGAUAACGGUUAGAAAUGACUGCUAAUACCGCAUAAGCGCACAGUACCGCAUGGUACGGUGUGAAAAACUCCGGUGGUAUGAGAUGGACCCGCGUCUGAUUAGCUAGUUUGUGGGGUAACGGCCCACCAAGGCGACGAUCAGUAGCCGACCUGAGAGGGUGACCGGCCACAUUGGGACUGAGACACGGCCCAG